Long non-coding RNA from Prinia subflava (tawny-flanked prinia), 441 nucleotides. RefSeq lists it as uncharacterized. The record is from RefSeq and is a predicted model, not a curated record. The transcript has 3 exons. Lineage: Eukaryota; Metazoa; Chordata; Aves; Passeriformes; Cisticolidae.
AGGCGGCGGAGGGGCGAAAAGGCUGCCGUCCCCAUGCAAAUCGUUUGGGAAAACAGUGCACCGCCCUCCGUUAAUUCCCCUGAUUAAAACCGCAUUAGUCUGUAGGUGUCAGGGACGGGCAGCUGUUUCCAAGGAAGCCCUGGCUCCACCAGGUCCUUCCUCGGCGGGCAGAGGCGGCUCUAUCUGAGAUUCAGUACAGUGAAAACAGAUCCUGAACAAUCUUAGCUCAGGCUGAGCAACGACAAAUUUGUCUUAAUUGGCCAGUGAAAGCUCAUGGCAUUGCUUCUGUUCCCAGCAUCAGAUUUCAUUCAACAAAGUCAAUGAGACACAUCCAUGUACUUAGAGUUGCAGUUGCCAUACCCCAGAGCGGCUGGACAAGCCUGGUCUUCUAUCACUCCCAGAGACGAAAAAGAUGCUGGGCUGUGCUGCUUGCAGAUCUCU